This 235-nucleotide ribosomal RNA is filed under the name uncultured bacterium. RNAcentral describes it as "partial 16S ribosomal RNA". It matches the Rfam family "Bacterial small subunit ribosomal RNA", at positions 542 to 776 of the family's 1533-position model. The record is from RNAcentral.
UGUUCGGAAUUAUUGGGCGUAAAGGGUGCGUAGGCGGUUCCGCAAGUCCUGUGUGAAAUCUUCGGGCUCAACUCGAAGUCUGCACGGGAAACUGCGGGGCUUGAGUGUGGGAGAGGUGAGUGGAAUUCCCGGUGUAGCGGUGAAAUGCGCAGAGAUCGGAAAGAACACCAACGGCGAAAGCACUCUGCUGGGCCGACACUGACACUGAGAGACGAAAGCUAGGGGAGCGAAUGGG